This is a non-coding RNA of Spirochaetes bacterium RBG_16_49_21, 74 nucleotides long. Lineage: Bacteria; Pseudomonadati; Spirochaetota. The record is from Rfam.
GCGUCCGUAGCUCAGUUGGAUAGAGCGCCGGACUACGAAUCCGUAGGUCGCAGGUUCGACUCCUGCCGGACGCG